RNAcentral lists this ribosomal RNA (907 nucleotides) under uncultured bacterium. Its description in RNAcentral is "bacterial SSU rRNA". It matches the Rfam family "Bacterial small subunit ribosomal RNA", at positions 10 to 916 of the family's 1533-position model. The record is from RNAcentral.
AGUUUGAUCCUGGCUCAGGAUGAACGCUGGCGGCGUGCCUAAUACAUGCAAGUCGAACGAAUCUCUUCGGAGAUGAGUGGCGAACGGGUGAGUAAUACAUAGGUAACCUGCCCCUGUGCGGGGGAUAACAGGAGGAAACUCCUGCUAAUACCGCAUAGCCAUGAGCACCGCAUGGAGCUCAUGCCAAAUAUCCUUUCGGGGAUAGCGCAGGGAUGGACCUAUGGCGCAUUAGCUUGUUGGCGGGGCAACGGCCCACCAAGGCAACGAUGCGUAGCCGGCCUGAGAGGGCGGACGGCCACAUUGGGACUGAGACACGGCCCAGACUCCUACGGGAGGCAGCAGUAGGGAAUUUUCGGCAAUGGGGGAAACCCUGACCGAGCAACGCCGCGUGAGCGAAGAAGGCCUUCGGGUCGUAAAGCUCUGUUGUAAAGGAAGAACGGCGCAUACAGGAAAUGGUAUGCGAGUGACGGUACUUUACCAGAAAGCCACGGCUAACUACGUGCCAGCAGCCGCGGUAAUACGUAGGUGGCGAGCGUUAUCCGGAAUCAUUGGGCGUAAAGAGGGAGCAGGCGGCCGCAAGGGUCUGUGGUGAAAGACCGAAGCUAAACUUCGGUAAGCCAUGGAAACCGGGCGGCUAGAGUGCGGAAGGGGAUCGUGGAAUUCCAUGUGUAGCGGUGAAAUGCGUAGAUAUAUGGAGGAACACCAGUGGCGAAGGCGACGGUCUGGGCCGCAACUGACGCUCAUUCCCGAAAGCGUGGGGAGCAAAUAGGAUUAGAUACCCUAGUAGUCCACGCCGUAAACGAUGGUCACUAAGUGUCGGGGGUCAAACCCCGGUGCUGCAGUCAACGCAAUAAGUGACCCGCCUGAGUAGUACGUUCGCAAGAAUGAAACUCAAAGGAAUUGACGG